RNAcentral lists this unclassified non-coding RNA (719 nucleotides) under uncultured Pleosporales. RNAcentral describes it as "sequence contains 18S rRNA gene, ITS1, 5.8S rRNA gene, ITS2, 28S rRNA gene". The stretch from base 304 to 457 matches the Rfam family "5.8S ribosomal RNA". Lineage: Eukaryota; Fungi; Ascomycota; Dothideomycetes; Pleosporales. The record is from RNAcentral.
GGAAGGAUCAUUACCGAAUUUCUGGUGGCUGCACCUUGCCCUCUCGCUCGUUCGUUAGGGAGGUGCUGUUCAUCGCAGAUUGGGACUGCGUUGUGGCUAGUAGGACCGCACUGUCGGCCUGAACACGUCUGCCUGAGGAUAAUAUCCUAGGUACGGCCCCCGGGCCGUCGCGCGGAAGCUUUCUGGGUUACCCUUUGUCUACCUGUACCUUUGUAGCUUCCUCGGCGAGCUUCUCGCCGCUAGGAACCCCUCUACAACCUUGCAUAUAGCAUUAAACGUCCUGAUAAAAAACCUAAUUAUCACAACUUUCAACAAUGGAUCUCUUGGUUCUGGCAUCGAUGAAGAACGCAGCGAAAUGCGAUAAGUAGUGUGAAUUGCAGAAUUCAGUGAAUCAUCGAAUCUUUGAACGCACAUUGCGCCCCUUGGUAUUCCAUGGGGCAUGCCUGUUCGAGCGUCAUUUACCGCCUCAAGCUCAGCUUGGUGUUGGGCGUCUGUCCCGCUGCUCUGCGCGGACUCGCCUCAAAGUCAUUGGCAGCGAUCUUGUCAGCUUCUCGCGCAGCACAUUGCGCUUCUUGGAGCCCUGGCGGGUUGGCAUCCAGUAAGCUACUCCACGACUUGACCUCGGAUCAGGUAGGGAUACCCGCUGAACUUAAGCAUAUCAAUAAGCGGAGGAAAAGAAACCAACAGGGAUUGCCCUAGUAACGGCGAGUGAAGCGGCA